CGAUGGACUACCCAACCUCCUCCACUUUCUAUCACCUGCUGGUGCCUCUCAUUGACUACAUCUACUUGCUCUCUUGUCCUGUCUUCCAGGUGAAGACAAGCAGGUGAUCCUCUCUGAACACAGGACAGAGUGAAGAAGUUCUCAGGGAAGGGCUGACCCUCCAAAGAUGUAAUUUCUUACAAGGACAUCUCCACUUUGAUACAUGAAGCUAUCUUUCUCUCCUUGGAUCUGAUUCCUGAAUGCUGUCACCAUGUACCAAUGCUCUCAUAUCCUGAUUGAGUUGGAAGAAGGAAGCUUGAGUCCCAGUUACUUCAUGCAAUGGUGUGCUGUGCAUCAGGAAGUCUACUGGCCUGUGAGCUGAUCUUCUCAUAGUCAACUCACCUUCUGUCCACAUACCAUUUGCAUGGAAUCCCACACACAAAUACCACUAUCAGGAUCCUAACUGGAGAUAGAAUCCAUCUCUGAUUACCCACAGGUAUGGGCAAGGUUGAGGGAACUAACAAGAAGUUGGCAUGUCCCUCUACUUUCUCAGGGCUUCAUGACCACCCCAACGCUCCCAGAGCUGAGAGGACAGAGAAGUAACCAGUGCUCCUGGGCCUGACUGAGCUGUUAUCAUGGAACCCGAAGUCAUAAAGGGAAGUGGCCCCUGGCUGGGGAGAAGGCAACUGAUUACCCUCCCUCCACUUGUCUUUCCAUCACCUGCUGGUGCCUCUCAUUGACUACAUCUAUUCACUCUCUUGCCCUGUCUUCCAGGUGAAGACAAACAGGUGAUCCUCUCUGAGCACAGGACAGAGUGAAAAAUGAUAGGCUAGAUCUCUGGAGGCAAACAAAAUAAUCAGCACACCCACUCAGAGAUCCUGCUGUCAGCCUAUUUUUGGCCUGUGUUCAACUAUAGAGAGGAAGAUUGACCCUUUCUGGUAUCAGAAAUGUAUAUGAUCCUCCCUACCAUUGGAAUCCCCUGCACUAGGCUGGCCCCUGCAUACUUAGAGCCUCUAUUUUUACUGUGGUCUUCCUGCCUUAGUCAUAAGGAGAUUCCCUCCACAUUGUGCCUGAUACAGUUGUCCUAUCCGAUCUCACCACCAUUGCUGCCAUCAUUGAUACUCUCCUGCUGGGGCCUCCUCCUGCUUAAGUUCUUUUCUGUUCUGCUGCUGUGACUGACAUCGACUCUAUACCUCCUGUCCCCACUACUACAUUAAAGCCCCUUGCGGACAAGAGAUCAAAAAUUAAGUGUGAUAUUCUCAAUGCAGUGAGAAUAUUCCUGGUUUUUCUCAGUUCUCACUGGAACGUAGUUCUCCGACUGGUUCUCUGUACAAUUAAAGAAAGCUGCAUGCGAGCAGACGAAACUAUGGCUUAAAAGGCUGAAGGUGCAGGGAUCUGAACUCAAUUCUGGGACAGCUGCUUCAUUAACAGAAAUUAGCAUCUUGGAAGUAUCUCCUAUCCUAGGGCUUGUUCUUUGUGGAUAAAAAGAUGCCCAGGGAUUCUGUCUACAUCCCUUGGGUUCUUUGCCAUUUUCACAGCCACUGGCUCCCGACACUUUGCCUCUUAACAGCCAGUGCUCUAUCGUUGAAGGAUGGGCCUCAGGCUGCCUUGACUGCACACAUGGAGAAUCAGGUGCUUUUUAACUAACAACUGAAGGAUGCAGGGCAAAUCCCUCAGCUUAAGGCUCUUCCCUGAGGAUGACCAUGGCACUUCCAGCUGCAGGUCUGGGGUGGCUGCUCAUCUCUUGAACCACUUUCCUCCCACAUCCCUUGUGUACUGCACCCUACCACCCCAAUUUCUCCCUGGGAAGUACAUUGAUUUGUGCUAGCAACUGCUUACUGGAGGACCCAGCUGUUAGAGUGGACACUUUCUCUGGAUGUUGGGUGAAGCCUAUGUAGGAUUAAAGGAGAGGAAGCAGACAAGGAGAGCCUCAGGUCAUGAUGCAGAUAUAAGGUCUGAAGCCCCAGUGAUGUGCUCCAAAGACUGCUCGAAGCUAUGCUGCAUUGGGCAGAAAUGGCCAGGCACUACUACCCCUACUGUGCUCAGUCAUCAGCUGGAUUUGCUUGGGGAGACCACAGUGACAAGUGCUGCGAUGGAUCCCAAAGGCAGUGCAGCUACCUGCCAUCCUACAGCUGAAUGCCAAGGCUUGCCUUGAAAAGCAAUUCAAGCAGCCCAUCUCCAGGGCUGUCACAUGGAGCUUUCUUUAACCCAUCCUUCCCCCUCUGAAUGCUGGGAGAAGCUAAAUGCUGGCAGUCUUCCUCCAGCUUCAAAUCCAAUUAAGUUCACUGGAGAAUCUGGGCAAUGCCUCCAGAUAACAUUCCUACUUCCAGCCUGGACAGUGUCACACAGUAGUAGCCCUCCUACAAAUCUGUGGUGCUAAUAGCAGUCAUAAUGUUAUAAAUAAAGUUUCG
RNAcentral lists this long non-coding RNA (2390 nucleotides) under Pan troglodytes (chimpanzee). RNAcentral describes it as "long non-coding RNA NONPTRT004089". Lineage: Eukaryota; Metazoa; Chordata; Mammalia; Primates; Hominidae. The record is from RNAcentral.